ACAGCAGCGGUGGCCCCAAUGUCCAAGAGUUGGUUGGCAUUUGCUCUUGCUUGAUCGCCUCGGUUGGUAAUGUGACAAACCAUGACAGGGAGUGCCCUGUCAGCCGAACCCCCGUUGCGGAGGUUAUAGAAGCUUCGUGCCAUGUCGUAGGGUGGGCGUUGCCCUUGUUCCCUGCUCCAUUGCUUCAGAUCCAUAGCCCAGCGGGGCGUCGGGCCCUGAAAGUCUGGUCGGGGAAUAGCGGCUCCUCGGGGAGGGUUGUAGACCUCAAGCUCCGUGUCUGUGCUCCCACUAUCUCCUUCCUCUUCGGAUCCUUCGUCUGGUUCUUCCUCAGGAUCCUCUUCGGAUUCCUCUUCUGGUUCUUCCUCGGGAAUUUCCUCUUCGGAAUCCUCUUCUGGGUCGUCCUCGAUCCAGCCUCCAUUUCCUUGGUUGGGAUAGUAGGGGUCCCCGGUAAUGUGAAAUCCUGCCAUUUUGUCUGGUCGAGAAGUAGUGGUAAGAAAACUUGGGAGAAAAGUAAUUUUUGAUAAGAAAAUAUUUAUUUGACGUUUUCCUAACUUUAACUAAGUAUUGAGGUUUGCACGAUUUUUGUAGCUCUUAUGGUUCUAUAAAAUACUCCUAUAGUAUUACAAAUUUGUAAGUUUGAUUCUAGUAAUUUCUUUGGUAAGUUUUUGACUUGUUACUUACUACGACCAAUCCUCGACAUACGUUNUUCUUUGCCUUAGGGAAAUCCCUCUUGAAGUGACCAGUUUCCCCACACCCAUAACAUGCCUGGCUUACUCCAGUACCAGGAACUUGGGUGAUUGGUCGCGUCGGUGCCUUACAGAAACAGGCAGUGUGCCCUUUCCUAUCGCAGUUUUUACAGUGCAUCUCCCGGCAAUUACCGUGGUGAUGGUAAUUGCAUUUGUUGCACUUUGGCAGGUUCCCAGCAUAUUGCUUCGUUGGUGCGAGGGUAGCGGGAAUAACAGUGGGGGCAGUAGCGGCAUGGACCGCCACUAUUUGUUUCUUUGAAGGUUCUUGCGAAGUUUGACCUUUUCUCAUGUUCCAAAAUUUCUUCUUGUUGUUUUUGUUGGCAUUGUUGUCAUUGUUGUUGCUUCCUUUGGUUGGUUCUGGGACAACGGUUGUGACACUUUGGCAGACCCCAUGGUAAACGAGAGAUUGCGCCAGUUCCUUGGCGCUAUCGAACGUUGUGGGUUUGGAGGCUAGCACACUUCCUCGAAGCCGGGGUGACAGCCCCCGGAUAUACCUUUCCACGUUUUGGCUUUCCAUAAUCAUCAUUCCUGGGCAAAGUAUUAUCAAGUCACAGAAUCUAUUUGUAUAGCCUGUGAUGUCUGAGCCUACCAUCGUAAGGGCCCAAAGCUCCUGCUCGAGCUUCUGAAUCUCGCCUCUUGGGCAGUACUAUCGUAGUAGCAUUCGUUUCAGGUUCUCCCAAUCCAUAGAGUUUGCCACCACCAGAGUUAGUGACUUGACGUGGCCAUUCUACCAUGUUAGGGUUCGUUCGGAGAAAGUACAGGCGGCAAAUUUUACUUUGCUUUCUUCGGGGCAUGAGCAUAUCUCGAACACAACUUCCGUUUUCUCUAUCCACUGGGAUAGAGCCAUCACUCCCCCAGCUCCAUUAAAGGGGAUGGGUUUGCUAUUGGAGAAGUCUUUGUAAGUACAUUCCCCGGUACAACCUUGGGUUUGGCCAUUUGUAAAGCUGUUUAUCCCUCCUCCUGAUCCUUUGUUACUCAUUUGUGUCAUUGUUGCAGUUACAGCGGUUGUUACAGCAGCCUAAAAGGUAGCAGCAUCCAUAGUUGGAGGGGGUGGUAGAGGUGGUUCUGGCGCUUCGUUUGUAUUGAAACGUCGAGGAUUCCUUCUUGGUGGCAUGAUUCUGCCACAAUUUAAGAGACGAAUGCUUGAUAAGUCAGCUAAAAUGAUUAAGGGAGGUUCAUACAUUUUGGUUCUGAACAUUUCUGGUUUUUUGUAUGUUAACGGAAAUUUUCAAAAGAAAACAAGCGUAUGAAUAAUGGGAUACUCAAGGAAGUAAUAAAUGCGUUUCAAUUACAUUGAUAUUAGUAUAUGAUACAACGAUCAGGAAAAUUUUACCUUUAAUAGGUCUAGGUUACAUCAAUGAAAAUGGGAAACUUUGACAGCAUUCCGGCCUCCGAAUUGUGUACUCACAAUUCGUCGGGUUUACAUUUAUACAAGAAAAGGUAACACCAACAUUUAGCCGAUAGAUAUAAAUAUAGCGUUAGAAGUACGCGUUCUAUUCCGAGCGGGUAGGACGCUGCAGACCAUGGUAGGUAGUUGUGGAAGUCUUAGCUCGGGCUACUUGACGUUCAGCCACGAUGAUAUGCCUUUCCAUUGCGGCUGGUUGCUCACGGAACUCCCUUACUUCGGCUCUAGUAGCAGUAAUUUAUUUCUGAAGCGAAAAGGUGUGCUCUAUUGUCCGAUCGUGUUCUUCGUCCAGACGACGAAGAUGUACCGCAGUGACAGCAGCGGUGGCCCCAAUGUCCAAGAGUUGGUUGGCAUUUGCUCUUGCUUGAUCGCCUCGGUUGGUAAUGUGACAAACCAUGACAGGGAGUGCCCUGUCAGCCGAACCCCCGUUGCGGAGGUUAUAGAAGCUUCGUGCCAUGUCGUAGGGUGGGCGUUGCCCUUGUUCCCUGCUCCAUUGCUUCAGAUCCAUAGCCCAGCGGGGCGUCGGGCCCUGAAAGUCUGGUCGGGGAAUAGCGGCUCCUCGGGGAGGGUUGUAGACCUCAAGCUCCGUGUCUGUGCUCCCACUAUCUCCUUCCUCUUCGGAUCCUUCGUCUGGUUCUUCCUCAGGAUCCUCUUCGGAUUCCUCUUCUGGUUCUUCCUCGGGAAUUUCCUCUUCGGAAUCCUCUUCUGGGUCGUCCUCGAUCCAGCCUCCAUUUCCUUGGUUGGGAUAGUAGGGGUCCCC
Molecule: long non-coding RNA, 2911 nt
Filed under: Lactuca sativa (garden lettuce)
Lineage: Eukaryota; Viridiplantae; Streptophyta; Magnoliopsida; Asterales; Asteraceae
Description: long non-coding RNA (LSAT_LNC003406)
Source: RNAcentral